GACCAGUUAGCUCAGUUGGUUAGAGCGUGGGCUCUUAACACCAAGGUCGCUGGUUCAAUCCCCGCAUGGGCCA
This is a non-coding RNA of Rhinolophus ferrumequinum (greater horseshoe bat), 73 nucleotides long. Lineage: Eukaryota; Metazoa; Chordata; Mammalia; Chiroptera; Rhinolophidae. The record is from the annotation of a RefSeq genome assembly.